AUGGAUCAGCUUUUAAUUACAACGGACAAGUUUGAUGUAAAUCUAGGACAUGUCUCCGAAAGCUUCAAGGUCGAUAAAUCAGUAUGCACCGAAGCAAUCGAGCCCAUGCUAAUAAUCUUGAGAAAACAACUCAAUGGCACACGAAGAAAGAUUUUAUCGUUAAGCAACACUUUCCUUCUAACAUGUUCGUUGUGCGGGUUCGAGCAAGACGAAACUAUAAGUCAUUACUUCACCAUCAUAGUUAACAUGCAAAAACAAUGCUUUGAACUCCUUAACUCUUCAACUGCAUAUCCAGGCACAAUAGAAUUCUUCAACAAUGUAACCAGCAAACUAAUGAAAAUCUGGAAGCACAUAAGCAUAGAGCUACAGCUUUCAGAAAAAAGCAUCGACCAUUACAAAAAGGUCAGACUACAGGUGCCACUUCAAGGAGAAGACACAAUGGACUACGCAUUCUAUAUGUACAUGAACCUGAAGCACUACUCCAGUGAUGGAACAACAGCAACCUUAAAGCCAGAACAGGUACCAAAGUUUAGGAAAAAAAUUCUAUAUCAACUAAUCAGUCAACACAGAGGGAAUACCAAACUCUCACUAAUCAAGUGUACAACAGAUAUACUGAAGUAUGAAGUAGAUAUGGAAGACAAAGAAAUGCAACAGGCAGAAUGUUGCAUACUAGAAGAGUUUCCACCAACUCCCAGGACAAAAGAACAUACUAUGCGUGCGACAACCACACAAGAGCAUGAAGUUAUUGAUAUAUCCAGUAAACGCAAAGAGAUUAUGGAUGUCAGCAGCCACGCCGUCGCGCAACAAUCUUACACAGACCACGAACAAAAUGAUCCACCAAUAGAAUCGGAUCAACCACCACCAGACGACAACAUACCACACCAUGCUGAAGAGGAAACGGAUGAGAAAAAUAUCAACAGCAAUAUCACGACCAUAGAGCAACUGGAACAAACAGGCACUGAUUUAAAAGAGGAUGACAGAAGCAACGACAUACCAAAUACACAACAACAGGUUUCCGAGCAGAAGAAACAGCAUGUUCUUCUUCAAAAAGAAACAGGCUCGAUAAGCAAUCAGCAAGGCACCUCCAGCACCAUCUCUUUAGACUUCCUAAAACCAAAAACAAUGGAAAAGCUCGAAGAAGUUGAUGAAUUUCUUUCAAGCCUUAACCCACUACAACUAGACGUGUACAACGACCAUGUAAAGAUGGGCUUUCAGUUCGAUGUAAUCAAAACAUGGUCGACCGACCAUGAAAGCUAUGAAUUCAACAAAGAUGUCAAGCCAUAUCUGACAAUCUUGCAGCAAGAAUCAUGA
Molecule: ribosomal RNA, 1311 nt
Filed under: Triticum aestivum (bread wheat)
Lineage: Eukaryota; Viridiplantae; Streptophyta; Magnoliopsida; Poales; Poaceae
Description: partial small subunit ribosomal RNA
Source: RNAcentral